AUUCUAACUCUUCUCUUUAUUUUUUUAAUAAAGUUAAGUAUUUUUUUGGUAGAGUUUGAGAAAGUUCAAGGAAGAAAGUUUCAGACAAAAACUACGUAAUGUGUGGGGGGAUGUAACCAAGAUUGACGUGAUCAACCACCUGUUUAAAAUAUUGGCUUAAAUUGUGGUUGAAGUUCAUGAACUCAAGAAAAAAUGGCACACACAUUCUUAAACCCUGCGCAAAAAAAAUGUGUAAAGGCAAAACCCGGCCGUGCGAAAAACUAUGAAGUAGCAGAAGAAAGGCUAAAAUCCAGAUUCCACGAACAAUAAAGCGCUUCACACGCGAAAGCAGAGAGCAAACCCAGAAACCCUUCCUUUCUCUCUUUCUCCUUCGCGAACAAAAAACCCUAAGUAGGAGAAGUGUAGCAGCGCCGCAGCCGGCGGUGAAUUUGCCGGUGAGUUUGCUGACAGCCCGACCCCCGACGCACUUCAGUCUUCAGUAUAUACGUAUGUACAGUAGCAGCGCCGUGUAGACGUCUAAGAGACGAAGACUGAUUUUCCGAUUUUCCGAUUUUCCGGUAGACUAAUUCGCAAAAGAAUCUGAUUUUCCGCCUUUCCGACAACAACACCAACAGAGUGCGGCAGGCCGGCUGCAAGGCGGGCGGCAGCAGGCGGCGGCAGCAGGCGGCAAACACUUCAGAUAGAUGGAUGAACUGCUUGAUACGAUUAAAGAUCCCUUUUCUCUUUCAUGCUUUAUUUGGGUGUCGGAUGCCUUGCUCCUCUGAUAGUACUUUGGCGAAGCUCAUACGCAUAAAUGUAAAGUGAAUGCGGAAGAAUUUGAAGAUAAGGUGGAUAUCGACUAGGAUGUUUGCUAUUGGAUUUGAACCAACAACUCCCGCCGUGUGAAGACAAUACUCUAACCGUUGAGUUAAGUAGGCCUUUUAUCAUUCCAAAGAGGACUAAAUAAAACCUUCACAUAGAUUGAUUGUAAUGUUUCUAAAAUUUGGUUUCUGAAUCGUUUAUGUAGUUUGGCAUUUUCUUAAUUUACCCUUUUUGUGAAAGAUAUUGAUUGAAA
Molecule: long non-coding RNA, 1054 nt
Organism: Beta vulgaris subsp. vulgaris (sugar beet)
Lineage: Eukaryota; Viridiplantae; Streptophyta; Magnoliopsida; Caryophyllales; Amaranthaceae
Exons: 4
Source: RefSeq, a predicted model, not a curated record